Molecule: ribosomal RNA, 454 nt
Filed under: uncultured bacterium
Lineage: Bacteria
Description: partial 16S ribosomal RNA
Rfam family: Bacterial small subunit ribosomal RNA
Source: RNAcentral
ACGGAAGGCAGCAGUGAGGAAUAUUGGUCAAUGGGCGGAAGCCUGAACCAGCCAUGCCGCGUGAAGGAAUAAGGCCCUAUGGGUCGUAAACUUCUUUUGACGGGGAGCAAUAAGGCGUACGUGUACGCCGAUGAGAGUACUCGUCGAAUAAGCAUCGGCUAACUCCGUGCCAGCAGCCGCGGUAAUACGGAGGAUGCAAGCGUUAUCCGGAUUUAUUGGGUUUAAAGGGUGCGUAGGCUGUGUGUCAAGUCAGGGGUGAAAUACCGGGGCUCAACCGUGGAACUGCCUUUGAUACUGACAUGCUUGAAUACUGUUGCCGUGGGAGGAAUGAGUAGUGUAGCGGUGAAAUGCAUAGAUAUUACUCAGAACACCGAUUGCGAAGGCAUCUCACGAAGCAGGGAUUGACGCUGAGGCACGAAAGCGUGGGGAUCAAACAGGAUUAGAUACCCUGGUA